CUACUUACCUGGCAGGGGAGAUACCAUGAUCACGUAGGUGGUUUUCCCAGGGUGAGGCUCCGUCAUUGCACUUGGGCUGUGCUGACCCCUGCGAUUUCCCCAAAUGCGGGAAACUCGACUGCAUAAUUGGUGGUAGUGGGGACUGCGUUCGCGCUCUCCCCU
This 162-nucleotide small nuclear RNA is filed under the name Ornithorhynchus anatinus (platypus). RNAcentral's name for it is "U1 spliceosomal RNA (ENSOANG00000017727.2)". It matches the Rfam family "U1 spliceosomal RNA". From Rfam's summary of the family: U1 is a small nuclear RNA (snRNA) component of the spliceosome (involved in pre-mRNA splicing). Its 5' end forms complementary base pairs with the 5' splice junction, thus defining the 5' donor site of an intron. Lineage: Eukaryota; Metazoa; Chordata; Mammalia; Monotremata; Ornithorhynchidae. The record is from RNAcentral.